RNAcentral lists this ribosomal RNA (804 nucleotides) under uncultured Syntrophorhabdus sp. RNAcentral describes it as "bacterial SSU rRNA". It matches the Rfam family "Bacterial small subunit ribosomal RNA", at positions 28 to 803 of the family's 1533-position model. The record is from RNAcentral. Lineage: Bacteria; Pseudomonadati; Thermodesulfobacteriota; Syntrophorhabdia; Syntrophorhabdales; Syntrophorhabdaceae.
AACGAACGCUGGUGGCGUGCCUAACACAUGCAAGUCGAGCGUGAAAGUCCCUUCGGGGAUGAGUAAAGCGGCGGACGGGUGAGUAAUACAUGGGUAAUCUUUGCUUGAGCUCGGGAUAACCCCGCGAAAGUGGGGCUAAUACCGGAUAAGACCACGCGACCCAGGUUGCGCGGUAAAAGGUGGCUUAUUCUUUCGGGUUUAGGCUAUCACUUGGGAAUGAGCCCAUGUCCUAUCAGCUUGUUGGCGAGGUAAAAGCUCACCAAGGCUAUGACGGGUAGCUGGUCUAAGAGGACGAUCAGCCACACUGGGACUGAGACACGGCCCAGACUCCUACGGGAGGCAGCAGUGGGGAAUAUUGGGCAAUGGGCGAAAGCCUGACCCAGCGACGCCAUGUGGGUGAUGAAGGCCUUCGGGUUGUAAAGCCCUGUUAAGUGGGAAGAAGGAUUCAGAGGUAAAUAAUCUCUGGAUUUUGACGGUACCACUGGAGAAAGCACCGGCUAACUCCGUGCCAGCAGCCGCGGUAAUACGGAGGGUGCAAGCGUUGUUCGGAAUUACUGGGCGUAAAGGGCGUGUAGGCGGUAAUGUAAGUCAGACGUGAAAUCCUUUGGCUCAACUGAAGAACUGCGUCUGAAACUGCAUGACUAGAGUGCAGAAGAGGGAAACGGAAUUCCUGGUGUAGAGGUGAAAUUCGUAGAUAUCAGGAGGAACACCGGUGGCGAAAGGCGGUUUCCUGGUCUGACACUGACGCUGAGGCGCGAAAGCGUGGGGAGCAAACAGGAUUAGAUACCCUGUAGUCCACGCCGU